AGAGUUUGAUCAUGGCUCAGAAUCAACGCUGGCGGCGUGCCUAACACAUGCAAGUCGCGCGAGAAAGUGGAGCAAUCCAUGAGUAAAGCGGCACACGGGUGAGUAACACGUGACUAGCCUACCCUCGAGUGGGGAAUAACUUCGGGAAACCGAGGCUAAUACCGCAUAAUACCCACGGGUCAAAGGAGUAAUUCGCUUGAGGAGGGGGUCGCGGCCGAUUAGUUAGUUGGCAGGGUAAUGGCCUACCAAGACGAUGAUCGGUAUCCGGCCUGAGAGGGCGCACGGACACACUGGAACUGAAACACGGUCCAGACUCCUACGGGAGGCAGCAGUGGGGAAUUUUGCGCAAUGGGGGAAACCCUGACGCAGCAACGCCGCGUGGAGGAUGAAGUCCUUCGGGACGUAAACUCCUUUCGAUCGGGACGAUAAUGACGGUACCGGAAGAAGAAGCCCCGGCUAACUUCGUGCCAGCAGCCGCGGUAAUAC
RNAcentral lists this ribosomal RNA (486 nucleotides) under uncultured bacterium. RNAcentral's name for it is "bacterial SSU rRNA". It matches the Rfam family "Bacterial small subunit ribosomal RNA", at positions 8 to 526 of the family's 1533-position model. The record is from RNAcentral.